Molecule: ribosomal RNA, 738 nt
Filed under: uncultured bacterium
Lineage: Bacteria
Description: bacterial SSU rRNA
Rfam family: Bacterial small subunit ribosomal RNA
Source: RNAcentral
CUUACCAUGCAGUCGAGCGAAGCGCUUUACUUAGAAUUCUUCGGAAGGAAGAGUGGAGUGACUGAGCGGCGGACGGGUGAGUAACGCGUGGAUAACCUGCCUCAUACAGGGGGAUAACAGUCAGAAAUGGCUGCUAAUACCGCAUAAGCCCACAGUGCCGCAUGGCACAGUGGGAAAAACUUAAGGUGGUAUGAGAUGGAUCCGCGUCUGAUUAGCUGGUUGGUAAGGUAACGGCUUACCAAGGCGACGAUCAGUAGCCGGCCUGAGAGGGCGACCGGCCACAUUGGGACUGAGACACGGCCCAAACUCCUACGGGAGGCAGCAGUGGGGAAUAUUGCACAAUGGGGGAAACCCUGAUGCAGCGACGCCGCGUGAAGGAUGAAGUAUUUCGGUAUGUAAACUUCUAUCAGCAGGGAAGAAAAUGACGGUACCUGACUAAGAAGCCCCGGCUAACUACGUGCCAGCAGCCGCGGUAAUACGUAGGGGGCAAGCGUUAUCCGGAUUUACUGGGUGUAAAGGGAGCGUAGACGGCUGUGCAAGUCUGAUGUGAAAACCCGGGGCUCAACCCCGGGACUGCAUUGGAAACUGUGCGGCUGGAGUGUCGGAGAGGUAAGUGGAAUUCCUAGUGUAGCGGUGAAAUGCGUAGAUAUUAGGAGGAACACCAGUGGCGAAGGCGGCUUACUGGACGAUGACUGACGUUGAGGCUCGAAAGCGUGGGGAGCAAACAGGAUUAGAUAC